RNAcentral lists this ribosomal RNA (228 nucleotides) under uncultured Gammaproteobacteria bacterium. RNAcentral's name for it is "partial 16S ribosomal RNA". It matches the Rfam family "Bacterial small subunit ribosomal RNA", at positions 554 to 776 of the family's 1533-position model. The record is from RNAcentral. Lineage: Bacteria; Pseudomonadati; Pseudomonadota; Gammaproteobacteria.
ACACCCUGCGCGUAAAGCGCACGCACGCGGUUAGGUGAGCCUGGAGCGACAUCUAUGAUCUCAACUCGUAAACUGCAUUGGGUACUGCUUGAUUUGAAUCACGGAGGGGAAACCGGAAUUCCCAGUGCAGGGGUGCCACCUGUAAAUAUUUGGAACAACACUGGAGGCGAAGGCGGGUUUCUGGCCGAUGAUUGACGCUCAUAUCCGAAGGUGCGGGGACCAAACAGG